UUCCCGACCCAGGGAUCGAAUCCAGGUCUCCUGCAUUGCAGGCGGAUUCUCUUUACCAGCUAAGCCACAAGGGA
RNAcentral lists this transfer RNA (74 nucleotides) under Haemonchus contortus (barber pole worm). RNAcentral describes it as "tRNA, Pseudo". The record is from RNAcentral. Lineage: Eukaryota; Metazoa; Nematoda; Chromadorea; Rhabditida; Trichostrongylidae.